RNAcentral lists this long non-coding RNA (1122 nucleotides) under Gopherus evgoodei (Goodes thornscrub tortoise). RNAcentral describes it as "lncRNA (ENSGEVG00005012626.1)". The record is from RNAcentral. Lineage: Eukaryota; Metazoa; Chordata; Testudines; Testudinidae.
AUUGCAUGGUGGUGGUUGGGUCCCACACAAAUACCUGACACCUGCAAGGGACCUGGGAAGGGCUGGGUGGCUGCCUGGUUGCACGGCUGGGCUGGUGGUCAGGAGAGCAGGGGUCAAGCCAAGGCAGGAGGUUCUAUUUUGUGGGAGCCUUUGUCCUGUUCCUUCCUCUCCUGAACUGAAGCAGAUGAUGUUUUGCCUCUGAGCUGUUGAUUUCCUUUCUUUGAAAGAGGCAGAGCAAACGCCAGGGAAUGAGCAGCAAUGCGGUAAGUGUGUCUAUGGGGCUGGGAGCCAGGGGGGCUGGGUUCUCUCCCUAGCUCUGCUGCUGAGUCACUGCAUGACUUUAGAUGAGCUCUGUCCCUCAGUUUCCCCCUCCAUAAAAGAGGAUUAUAAAUUUCCACCCCCUCCCCCGGAGCAGGACAGAAGGUCUUUCCAAUCCCCUGGGUAGUUUAUCUGGGGGGAGAGGGGGCCUCUGUGCAUUCCCCUUUGUUAUUACACAUCACCGAGCAGUCCCAGAGCAGUGGCUCGCGGCCUCACUUCUGCCUGCCUUGCAGCACCAGCCGGGCCCUGGGGAGACCCUGAUGUCUGGAUGCAUCUAUGAGAAGAACACCCAGGACUAUGGCCUGGGGCAGCCAGCCGCAUGUUAGAUACGCGCCUCCUCCUGGGGGAUAGCGCGACCACCGAGCUGUGCCCGGGCUCUCCGGCCGGCAUCGGGCAAUCCCACACCUACAGCCAGACAAUGAACAUGGGCAAAGUACUGCAGCCAGGUUUCCGCUCCCUUCUCCCCAGCCCUCAGGGCUCUGUGGGGCUGAAGUAGCCAGACCUUCAGGGCGAGGGGAAGAGGCCUUACCUGGGAGGAACAGCAGCCAGACGAGACGCCUCAAGGUGAUCCCUGAGCAGCUGCGGCACUGGGGAACAAAGGAAAGAGCGAAGGUUUGGUUGGUUCCUGCAAUGACCCAGAGCAACAUCAACCACCGGAGAGAGAGGAGCUAGAGGGGAGACUGCAGGGAACCUGUUACCUGCGGUAACCACUAGACCCCACUCCCCUCUCAAGGCUGGGGAGAGAACCCAGGCGUCCGGGCUGCCAGCCCCCUGCUCUAACUCACUAGCUGCUGGAUGGCGCAG